RNAcentral lists this long non-coding RNA (1358 nucleotides) under Felis catus (domestic cat). Its description in RNAcentral is "lncRNA (ENSFCAG00000045611.2)". The record is from RNAcentral. Lineage: Eukaryota; Metazoa; Chordata; Mammalia; Carnivora; Felidae.
GCCCUUCAGUUGCAUUCGGCUUCCUCCUCUUCUCCAGUUGGCUGCAUACCUUGGCUGAAAGCCACGGUUCCGAUUGGGUGGCCCUCUCCAACAGAGACAACUAGUCUCUCUGGGUUCUGAUAACCAUUCUCCAUGUGCCCUUUCGAUCCUAGGGUGGUAAUGUCCCUCUCUGAUUCUAGCUCCACCACAGAUCUCCUUAACCAUCCCUUGCAAGUUUCCCUUAACCUGGCUCAGAACUUUGCAGUCACUUGAUUAAAUCCUCCUUAAUGACCCUGUCUGAGUGAGCCAUCUGUUUCCUGCUGGGAUCCUGACCGGUACAGGAAGAAAAAUGUUUCUCAGAAGCUGUCCAACACUCCCAUCCCACUUCCUGCCUGUCCCAACCCGAAAGGGAGAAAGAGAGAAAGAAAGAGGGGUAGGGGAAGGAGGGGAGGAAGGAAGGAAGGAAGGAAGGAAGAAGGAAGGAAGAAGGAAGGAAGGAAGGAAGGAGGAAGGAAGGAAGGGAGGGAGGAAGGAAGGGAGGGAGGGAGAAAGGAAGAAGGAAGGAAGGAAGGAAGGAAGGAAGGAAGGAAGGAAGGAAGGAAGGAAGAAGGAAGGAGGAAGGAAGGAAGGGAGGGAGGAAGGAAGGAAGGAAGGAGGAAGGAAGGAAGGAGGAAGGAAGAUUUCCUUCAGAUCUCUCUCUAGGAUAGAAUCAUGCAAUGGAGCCUGGGAAACAAGUAUCUGACAUUUCCAAAUAACCACCAUUGGGUAGUUAGUGGUGGGCAACCAAUAAUGUCUUCCUUAGAGGUACCCCAACGCUUUACCAAGAGAAGGAACGAUGUCGAUGGGCAGAGCAGGAGAGAAAAGUCAGAUGGGUGGCCCACUCCUGGUUUUCUGAAAACCCACAGGAAUUCUCAUGGCUCAUGGUUUGCCAGCAGUUACCAUGGUUACGGGGGUGGUGGGCAACAAGAAUCCAUUCCAGAGUGGGGCAAGGAGGACGGAGGGAUGCCAGCCACCUGCCAGCAGACUCAUGGAAACUCUCUCACGAUGGCGAGAGGGGUCUUUGGCCAGGACAACGACAGACUUUUAGAUCCUCCUAAGCCAGCCUUGCUUUUCACACUGAAACCCAAAAGAGAACGUCACAUGUCCUUUCCGACUGGCCAGGAUGCAAAGUCACCCUGUUUUCUGCCUUAGAAAAGUUGUCAAACCUCACAAGCUCGUGAUCUGACCAUUGUAAGUAAUAUGUCACAGAUGGGGGGAAAAGAAUUUUUUUAAGCCAUGUGGCAGCAAGGUGCACCAUAAUAAGAUUGAUAUUUGAAACCGCGUUGGUAAGCUUCAAACAAUUCACGCCUUGCAACCUUAUCAUCUAGCACAGCUCCGAG